AACUCAAGGAAUUGACGGGGGCCCGCACAAGCGGUGGAGCAUGUGGUUUAAUUCGAUGAUACGCGAGGAACCUUACCUGGGCUCAAAUGUAUGUUGACGUAUUCUGAAAGGGAUACUUCUUCGGACAAUAUACAAGGUGCUGCAUGGUUGUCGUCAGCUCGUGCCGUGAGGUGUCGGGUUAAGUCCCGCAACGAGCGCAACCCCUUUCCUUAGUUGCCAUCAGGUAAUGCUGGGGACUCUAAGGAUACUGCCCCGGUUAACGGGGAGGAAGGUGGGGAUGACGUCAAGUCAGUAUGUCCCUUACGUCCAGGGCUACACACGUGUUACAAUGGCCGGUACAAUGAGUUGCGACCCUGCAAAGGUAAGCCAAUCUCAAAAAACCGGUCUCAGUUCGGAUUGCAGUCUGCAACUCGACUGCAUGAAGUUGGAAUCGCUAGUAAUCGUAGAUCAGCACGCUACGGUGAAUACGUUCCCGGGCCUU
RNAcentral lists this ribosomal RNA (481 nucleotides) under uncultured Sphingobacteriales bacterium. Its description in RNAcentral is "bacterial SSU rRNA". It matches the Rfam family "Bacterial small subunit ribosomal RNA", at positions 898 to 1382 of the family's 1533-position model. Lineage: Bacteria; Pseudomonadati; Bacteroidota; Sphingobacteriia; Sphingobacteriales. The record is from RNAcentral.